Molecule: ribosomal RNA, 501 nt
Filed under: Spathaspora sp. BG090807.3.9.3.2.16
Lineage: Eukaryota; Fungi; Ascomycota; Pichiomycetes; Serinales; Debaryomycetaceae
Description: eukaryotic LSU rRNA
Rfam family: Eukaryotic large subunit ribosomal RNA
Source: RNAcentral
UAAGCAUAUCAAUAAGCGGAGGAAAAGAAACCAACAGGGAUUGCCUUAGUAGCGGCGAGUGAAGCGGCAAAAGCUCAAAUUUGAAAUCUGGCGGCCUCGUCGUCCGAGUUGUAAUUUGAAGAAGGUAUCUUUGGGUCUGGCGCUUGUCUAUGUUCCUUGGAACAGGACGUCACAGAGGGUGAGAAUCCCGUGCGAUGAGCAGUCCAGAUCCGUGUAAAGUUCCUUCGAAGAGUCGAGUUGUUUGGGAAUGCAGCUCUAAGUGGGUGGUAAAUUCCAUCUAAAGCUAAAUAUUGGCGAGAGACCGAUAGCGAACAAGUACAGUGAUGGAAAGAUGAAAAGAACUUUGAAAAGAGAGUGAAAAAGUACGUGAAAUUGUUGAAAGGGAAGGGCUUGCGAUCAGACUUGGUAUUUUGUAUGUCUUGCUUUCGGGCGGGGCCUCUGCAGUUUACUGGGCCAGCAUCGGUUCGGGUGGCAGGACAAUUGCGGAGAAAUGUGGCACGG